CUACGUGCCAGCAGCCGCGGUAAUACAGAGGGUGCAAGCGUUAAUCGGAAUUACUGGGCGUAAAGCGAGCGUAGGUGGUCAUUUAAGUCAGAUGUGAAAUCCCCGGGCUUAACCUGGGAACUGCAUCUGAUACUGGGUGACUAGAGUAGGUGAGAGGGAAGUAGAAUUCCAGGUGUAGCGGUGAAAUGCGUAGAGAUCUGGAGGAAUACCGAUGGCGAAGGCAGCUUCCUGGCAUCAUACUGACACUGAGGUUCGAAAGCGUGGGUAGCAAACAGGAUUAGAUACCCUGGUAGUCCACGCCGUAAACGAUGUCUACCAGUCGUUGGGUCUCUUGAAGACUUAGUGACGCAGUUAACGCGAUAAGUAGACCGCCUGGGGAGUACGGCCGCAAGGUUAAAACUCAAAUGAAUUGACGGGGGCCCGCACAAGCGGUGGAGCAUGUGGUUUAAUUCGAUGCAACGCGAAGAACCUUACCUGGUCUUGACAUAC
This 489-nucleotide ribosomal RNA is filed under the name uncultured bacterium. Its description in RNAcentral is "bacterial SSU rRNA". It matches the Rfam family "Bacterial small subunit ribosomal RNA", at positions 501 to 989 of the family's 1533-position model. The record is from RNAcentral.